This is a long non-coding RNA of Lucilia cuprina (Australian sheep blowfly), 1337 nucleotides long. RefSeq lists it as uncharacterized. Lineage: Eukaryota; Metazoa; Arthropoda; Insecta; Diptera; Calliphoridae. The transcript is spliced from 3 exons. The record is from RefSeq and is a predicted model, not a curated record.
GUCUGGAUAAUUCAAACAAAAUUAGGUCAUUUUGGUAUUGAAAGCUUUUAAUUUGUAUGGCAGUUCUCAUGUAACGGUUAUUAUACAAAUUAUUUCUCAUGUCUUGGCCUACACCAACUCCUGCAUAAAUCCCAUUUUAUAUGCCUUUUUAUCGGACAACUUUCGCAAGGCAUUUAGAAAGAUUGUCUGGUGCGGUAGUCCUCCACCCAUUAUAACAAAUCAACAAGUUACUAAAACAACGCGCACGGCAACCGGAAAUGGCACUUCAAACAUUGAUAUGCUGUAGAUAAACACUCAACAACUACAAUAUUCCAGCACCAAUAGCAACAACCCUAACUACAACAUCAACAACAGCUGCAGCAUUGACAUUUAUAUAGGACGAUGACGGUGUAGACAAGGACUAUAAAAACAAGGACUACAACGAGGACGUUUUUUUUUUUUAAACAGAUAGCAAUUGUACAUUAGACAAGCAGGUCAUAGAUGGCAACAACAAAAACGUAACGGAAAUAAGUAAUUCAAAGGAAAAAAGAGACUCAAGUGUUAGCAACGCCACAGUUACCAAUACUAAAAUCAUCUCUAUCCAGACAAUGAUCACCAUCACGACGACUUUUAAUUGUAGCCUCAUGUAGGAGGAAAAAAGGAAACCAAUAAAAAAGCCAACGCCGCUAACCAAAUCCAACAAUUUCCUCAAGGAUGUGGAUUGCUUGUGUUGUGUGUGCGUGUGUGCUGUGGGUGUUAAAAGACCACAGACUUUAAAUUAAAAUUACAAUUUUCAAAGGUUUCCUAAAAAGCCGACCACAAAACGAAAAUUAAGCCAACAAUUAAAUUGCAAAAUAAAAGAACAAAAACGAAUGAAGAAAUAUAUUCCUAAAAAAAUAAUAUAAAAUAAAAAUAUUUGUAAAAUAGUAAAAAUAAAUAAAAUUAAGAAUUGUUACUGAAUUUAAAAAAAUAUCUAUCUAUAUAAGAAAAAACAUUAUUAUUAAUUUAACACGUUUUUUCCAAGAAUUUGGCCUAAUUUUUAAACAAUUUACAAAUUGUAGUUAUAAUAAUAAAUAUAUAUUUACAGAGUAAAACUUAAUUAUUAAAUUUAUAAAAAAAAACAACAACAAAAAACCAACAAAUUUAAUUAAGUAUAAAAAAAUAAUAAUUAUAUACGAACAGCCAUUUAAACCACAAUAAACAAUUUUAAAUUGUAUUGUGAUAAAAUGGUGUUUGGUGGCAAAUUGUGUUAAUAAUGAGGAAAUUAGAAAUCUUUAUAAUAAAUGAAAAAAAUAAAUAAAUUUAAAAUUUUAGAAAUAUAUAAAUUUGAAAAAUAAAUAGAUUUUUAAUAAAACUAG